This 692-nucleotide long non-coding RNA is filed under the name Nicotiana tabacum (common tobacco). RNAcentral's name for it is "long non-coding RNA (NTAB_LNC013101)". The record is from RNAcentral. Lineage: Eukaryota; Viridiplantae; Streptophyta; Magnoliopsida; Solanales; Solanaceae.
UUCAGUAUAAGGUUUAAAACCCUAAUGCUGAUAAAAAGGAAAAAUUCAGUUUAGGAUUUAAAACCCUAAUGCUGAUUUUAUGGAAAAGCUCAGUUUAGGGUUUAAAACCCUAAUGCUGGCUGAAUGGGAAAAAGUUCAGUUUAGGGUUUAAAACCCUAAUGCUGAUUAAAAGGAAAAUUCAGUUUAGGAUUUAAAACCCUAAGGCUAAUUUCAUGGAAAAGCUCAGUUUAGGGUUUAAAACCCUAAUGCUGGCUGAAUGGGAAAAAGUUCAGUUUAGGGUUUAAAAACCUAAUGCUGACUGAAAUAGAAAAAGUUCAGUUCAGGGUUUAAAACCCUAAUGCUGACUAAAAAGAAAAUUCAGUUUAGGGUUUAAAACCCUAAUGCUGAUAGCAUGGAAAAGCUCAGUUUAGGGUUUAAAACCCUAAUGCUGGCUGAAUGGGAAAAAGUUUAGUUUAGGGUUUAAAACCCUAAUGCUGAUUAAAAGGAAAAUUCAGUUUAGGGUUUAAAACCCUAAUGCUGAUUGCAUGGAAAAGCUCAGUUUAGGGUUUAAAACCCUAAUGCUGGCUGAAUGGGAAAAAGUUCAGUUUAGGGUUUAAAACCCUAAUGCUGAUUAAAAGGCAAAUUCAGUUUAGGGUUUAAAAACCUAAUGCUGACUGAAAUAGAAAAAGUUCAGUUCAGGGUUUAAAACCCUA